AUUAAUUUGGACUACUAUAUAUUAUUAGGUUUUGCAUCUUUCCACUUUUUUCAUUCCUUUCUUACCUUCCUUUGGACUGAUUAUGGUCUCUGAUAUUUUUCUCUCAGAGUUUACAAAUCAUACAUGCUUUCUCGUUGUUCAGUGAUAUUUUGCUGCACCUGCUUAGCUUAGCAAAGUUAACAGAAAUAGAGUGGCUUACCUGGAGGAGAAGUCCAGAAGCUCAGGACACGCUGUGCAGCCCAGACGUCCCAGAGUCUCAGGCACAAAUUGCUAGUGUCACUUCCCUCCUGCCUGAAGUCCUUUGGUGGACUCUCAAUCCGGCUCUCACCAGACACCCUCGAGGCCAGGCCCUGGACCGGGACGAGGACAAUAGCAGCACACUUACCACUUACCGGGAGGUCAGGAACAUCCAGUUCCCUCUGCUCCAG
This 428-nucleotide long non-coding RNA is filed under the name Mustela putorius furo (domestic ferret). Its description in RNAcentral is "lncRNA (ENSMPUG00000029224.1)". The record is from RNAcentral. Lineage: Eukaryota; Metazoa; Chordata; Mammalia; Carnivora; Mustelidae.